CCGACCGUUUGACCUUGUCAACAAACACACACACUUCCUGUUGGAUUACACGGCCUUCAUGAAUCCACCAGCAUUAGCAUCAACACCAUGCUAGCAGGCCAAACACAGUUUGCUCCUGACUGGCAUUUUGGUGUUUGGUUUGUCAAAUGAAGUGGAGGGCGAGUGAUGCAGAGAAAAUGCAAGACAUUGCUACAACCGUACGAUCAUCAUAACGGUUGGUUCACAACAUUCCCCAUCUCGUGUGUGACAUGGAGAGUCCGGUCAAAUUCUUUGAGUGGUGGUCACACCUUGAAGCCGAGUUCAGGAACAUAAAAAUCAUAACUAAAUACCACCAUUUCUUUGUUUCCAAAGAUAAUUUCGGUGUUUUUCCUUUUAAGGAGUAUGCUGACUCUACCAAGGAGUGUUUUGAUGCUUUGAAGUGUGCAAAAAAUAAGAAUGCCAUGCCUCCACUUAAGACCAUUCCAGGGCUCCCUUUAGCAAGACAGUGGCAUGUGUAUGAUCACAUUUCGAAUAAAUGUUGUAUAGGGAGUUGUGUGCAGUAAAGUAGUAUUACGUGUAUAUUUGCAUGUAUUGUUGAUUUGCCUGCAAUGAAUGGUUAAUUCUGUCAAUGUUGCAUUAUGAUGUCUUUAUUAUGUUAAUUUGCAUGCAUUUCAAGUAUAGCCCAUGUUGUGUAAUUUUUGUUUUUAAAAAAAUAUUUAAAAACCUGGUUCAUGUUUGGAAAUAAUCAAACAGUGAUACAUUGCAUCGUUUCUAAUUUGUUAGAUUAUUUAAUAACCAGUACAUUGUUAGAACCUCUUCUUUAUAUGAAUAAGUUAUUCAUUUGGUUCACUUAUAUAACUAUGUAAUUUGAUUACAUAUAUUUGGAGAUAAUAGUAUUAAUGUUAUUUAAACUGAAAUAAAGUAAUACACAUUGACUUUGCAAUGAUGUUUUUUCCAUUUGUCAUGUAUCAAUGUAAGUACAGGGUACAAUUUCAAUGUUACUAUUGUUGAACCAGCCUUUAUUUGAAGGCAAAUUUUUAUAUUGUACAAUGUUAAAAACAAAUGGUCACCAUGACGACCAGUUUUUUGCUUUAAAUUAUUGAAAGCUUUCAGUGGACUGGGUGUAUGGAUUUUGUGUAUUGACAUGUACUUUGUAUGCGAAAUGAUUUUAUAUAACAGUAUUUCACAUUAAGUACUUACAGUUUACAAUAAUUAGUUUUGAAAUGUCAAUAAUAAAAACAACUCAGUUCAUUUGUUUACUUUUAUGCAUUUCACAUAUAUUAUCAAUUUUGUACACAUUUCCUAUAAUUAUUCAUCAAGAUUAAUGUUACAAAUUUUAAGUUAUAUAUCUUUGUCUAAACAAAAUUAAUUUGGGGAUAAAAUACCAACAUUCAAAUAAUGGUAACCAUGGAAACCAUUUUAAAUUUAAAAAAAAGAUGCUUUUAACAAACAAUGUGUUUAUAUUCAAACAUGUGUUUUUAUGAAAACUUGUUUAAACUAGUUUACUUGUGUAUACUGUUACUUGAAUAAUGCUUAAAAUGAUUAGUAUGUGAGCAAUAAAAACAAACUCAUUUUA
Molecule: long non-coding RNA, 1555 nt
Organism: Dreissena polymorpha
Lineage: Eukaryota; Metazoa; Mollusca; Bivalvia; Myida; Dreissenidae
Exons: 2
Source: RefSeq, a predicted model, not a curated record